GCUGCUGCGCAGCGUUCAUCUGAGCAUGAUACAAACUCAUAACUUCUUUUGCAUCCACUCCCACGCUGUGACGGGCGGUGAGUACAAGGCCCGGGAACGUAUUCACCGUGGCAUUCUGAUCCACUAUUACUACCGAAUCCCACUUCAUGGAGACUAGUUGCAACUCCAUUCCGGACUACAACCCACAUUAUGACGUACUUUAGCUCUCCCGAGGUCGUCUCUCUUUGUAUGUGCCCUUGUAAUACGCGAUUGUACCUGGUCGUAAGGGCCUGGAUGUCUUGACCAUAUUCCCACCUUCCUAUCCCCAUCUUUGUCCAUCUCCUUUGUGUUACCCGCCGGACCGUUCCCAACCAGACCACUGGUAACAAUCGAUGAGGGACUUACUCAAUGUUUCACUUAACCAAUUGUUUACAGACACGAGCUGAUGACUCACAUUCCCCAACUGCACAUUCUCUCCCCUGAAAACUCCCCGCGGUUGCUAAAACCAUGUAAGGAUCUUCGCAUUGCAUCAAAUUUCAUCACAUGCUCCACCGCUUGGUGCAGGCCCCCCCACUUUAUUUUGAGUUCUACCUUGCGGCCGUACUCCCUAAGCCGUCCACUUAACCUCCCAAUGCGGAAGACUCGACUCAUGGCACCACCUACCCGCCCACAUCGGGUACGAGCUGAAAACCAAGGUCUUAACCCGUUUGCUCCCACGCUUUCUUACUCUGAGCUUGCUCCUUCGUCUAUGGGGCGCAUUCGUCACCGGUAUUCUUCGGAUCCUUACUCUUUACCGGUACACCUGGAGAUCUAUCCCCUUUACCAGACUUCAACUUGGCAUCAUCCCAGCUUUACCAGAUUGAGCCUGGGAAUUUCAUAUUACUUUAACAACUGCAGCCCGGGCUUAUCACAACUACUCCAAAAACGCCGGCCCCCCCUUA
RNAcentral lists this ribosomal RNA (920 nucleotides) under Escherichia coli. RNAcentral describes it as "partial 16S ribosomal RNA". Lineage: Bacteria; Pseudomonadati; Pseudomonadota; Gammaproteobacteria; Enterobacterales; Enterobacteriaceae. The record is from RNAcentral.